This 468-nucleotide ribosomal RNA is filed under the name uncultured bacterium. Its description in RNAcentral is "partial 16S ribosomal RNA". It matches the Rfam family "Bacterial small subunit ribosomal RNA", at positions 28 to 507 of the family's 1533-position model. The record is from RNAcentral.
GACGAACGCUGGCGGCGUGCUUAACACACGCAAGUCGAACGGAAAGGCCCUGCUUUUGUGGGGUGCUCGAGUGGCGAACGGGUGAGUAACACGUGAGUAACCUGCCCUUGACUUUGGGAUAGCUUCAGGAAACUGGGGCUAAUACCGGAUAGGAGCUCCUGCUGCAUGGUGGGGGUUGGAAAGUUUCGGCGGUUGGGGAUGGACUCGCGGCUUAUCAGCUUGUUGGUGGGGUAGUGGCUUACCAAGGCUUUGACGGGUAGCCGGCCUGAGAGGGUGACCGGCCACAUUGGGACUGAGAUACGGCCCAGACUCCUACGGGAGGCAGCAGUGGGGAAUAUUGCACAAUGGGCGGAAGCCUGAUGCAGCAACGCCGCGUGCGGGAUGACGGCCUUCGGGUUGUAAACCGCUUUCGCCUGUGACGAAGCGUGAGUGACGGUAAUGGGUAAAGAAGCACCGGCUAACUACGUG